CAGUCGCCGCGGUAAUGCGGAGGGAGCUAGCGUUGUUCGGAAUUACUGGGCGUAAAGCGCACGUAGGCGGUUAUUCAAGUCAGAGGUGAAAGCCCGGGGCUCAACCCCGGAACUGCCUUUGAAACUAGAUGACUGGAAUCUUGGAGAGGUCAGUGGAAUUCCGAGUGUAGAGGUGAAAUUCGUAGAUAUUCGGAAGAACACCAGUGGCGAAGGCGACUGACUGGACAAGUAUUGACGCUGAGGUGCGAAAGCGUGGGGAGCAAACAGGAUUAGAUACCCCCGUAGUCCCUGUCUCUUAUAC
This 301-nucleotide ribosomal RNA is filed under the name uncultured bacterium. RNAcentral describes it as "partial 16S ribosomal RNA". It matches the Rfam family "Bacterial small subunit ribosomal RNA", at positions 509 to 807 of the family's 1533-position model. The record is from RNAcentral.